Non-coding RNA from Brassica rapa (field mustard), 138 nucleotides. The record is from Rfam. NCBI's taxonomy places the organism in Eukaryota, Viridiplantae, Streptophyta, Magnoliopsida, Brassicales, Brassicaceae.
AGUUGGCUUAGUUAGGAGGCUUGAUGAUCUUUCAAUAUGUUUCUGUAUUGUUUUGAUCUUGAGAUCUUUUUGAGGAGGAACUCUGUUUUUCUUUUUUUGUUGCUCAAAUCAGAGCUUCUCAAUCAGCUUCAGACAUUA